AGCAGAGUGGCCUAGUGGAAAGAGCACAGGCCUCCAAGUCAGAGAACCUGGGUUUUAAUCCCGGCUCUGCCA
RNAcentral lists this transfer RNA (72 nucleotides) under Ornithorhynchus anatinus (platypus). It matches the Rfam family "tRNA". From Rfam's summary of the family: Transfer RNA (tRNA) molecules are approximately 80 nucleotides in length. Their secondary structure includes four short double-helical elements and three loops (D, anti-codon, and T loops). The record is from Rfam by way of RNAcentral. Lineage: Eukaryota; Metazoa; Chordata; Mammalia; Monotremata; Ornithorhynchidae.